GAGUGCAUUCUUCAUAUGGCUUUCGUCUUCUUUGAAUUCCGAAGUGGAGUUCGCGAUUCCUUUUCUCACACUACCUAUAGGUAACUGCUCUCUUUACUUCACUACCACUAGUUUUUUCUUCAAUUCCUGCGUCCACAAUUGAUUAUUUUAAUUUUAGUUAUUUUUAAAAAAAUAAAUAAAUAAUAUAUAUAUAUAUAGAUAGAUAUAUGUUUUUCUGUUGAAUUUAAUGUCUUUUUAAUUGACAUUGUUCGUGUGUGUGAGGGAGAGGGAGAAGGAGAGAGAGGGAGGCAGAUAUGACUAGUAGCUAUGUGAUGUUAGAAAUGAAACAUGUGAUGAUGUUGAAUUGGUGUGCGUGCGAUGAUGAUUCCUUUCUAAUGACGAGUGAAAUUGAAGUUAGGGAGAGUUUUUCUGAGGGUAUAAUUGUACUAAUAACGUAUUUCUUAAAAUUAUAAAUUAUUUAUACUUGGAAAAUUAUUGCUUUCUAAGAUUGAUAAUGGAUUAUUAUUGUGCAUUGGAGGAGCUGACUGGCGAUUGAGCUUACUUGGUUUUCAAUUAUUGUUGAGAAAUUUGGUGAAUGCGUGGAAGGGGAAGUGCUUGUUUUUACUCGAGGCUGUUUCUGUUUCAGAUACUGAGACUUGAUACCUCGUAGUGAUGAACUGAAUGUUGUAAGGAGAGAAUUUGUUGAUAGGUCUUGCAGAGUGUCUGUUAUUAGAAUACUUUGACCUCCUUCACUCUGUCUUUAGAAGAAUAAUGGUCAUCAUUAGUUUUCACUUGUGUGUUCCUUUCAGUUCAUAUGCAUCGGAAGAUUGAA
RNAcentral lists this long non-coding RNA (811 nucleotides) under Phaseolus vulgaris (common bean). RNAcentral's name for it is "long non-coding RNA (PVUL_LNC005099)". The record is from RNAcentral. Lineage: Eukaryota; Viridiplantae; Streptophyta; Magnoliopsida; Fabales; Fabaceae.